AGAACGAACGCUGGCGGCAUGCCUAACACAUGCAAGUCGAACGAGACCUUCGGGUCUAGUGGCGCACGGGUGCGUAACGCGUGGGAAUCUGCCCUUAGGUUCGGAAUAACAGUUAGAAAUGACUGCUAAUACCGGAUAAUGACGUAAGUCCAAAGAUUUAUCGCCUAGGGAUGAGCCCGCGUAAGAUUAGCUAGUUGGUGGGGUAAAGGCCUACCAAGGCUACGAUCUUUAGCUGGUCUGAGAGGAUGAUCAGCCACACUGGGACUGAGAACGGCCCAGACUCCUACGGGAGGCAGCAGUCGGGAAUUUUGCCCAAUGGACGAAAGUCUGAGGCAGCAACUCCGCGUGAGGGACGAAGGCCUUCGGGUCGUAAACCUCUUUUCUCAGGGAAGAUACAAGACGGUACCUGAGGAAUAAGCCACGGCUAACUACGUGCCAGCAGCCGC
This 446-nucleotide ribosomal RNA is filed under the name uncultured bacterium. Its description in RNAcentral is "SSU rRNA". It matches the Rfam family "Bacterial small subunit ribosomal RNA", at positions 26 to 518 of the family's 1533-position model. The record is from RNAcentral.